GAUGAAGAACGUAGCGAAAUGCGAUAAGUAAUGUGAAUUGCAGAAUUUAGUGAAUCAUCGAAUCUUUGAACGCACAUUGCGCCCGCCAGUAUUCUGGCGGGCAUGCCUGUUCGAGCGUCAUUUCAACCCUCAAGCCCCCGGGCUUGGUGUUGGGGAUCGGCGUGCCCUCGCGGCGCGCCGUCCCCUAAAUCUAGUGGCGGUCUCGCUGUAGCUUCCUCUGCGUAGUAGCAACACUCGCACUGGAUCGCAGCGCGGCCACGCCGUUAAACCCCCCACUUCUGAAAGUUUGACCUCGGAUCAGGUAGGAAUACCCGCUGAACUUAAGCAUAUCAAUAAGCGGAGGA
This 344-nucleotide unclassified non-coding RNA is filed under the name soil metagenome. RNAcentral describes it as "partial contains 5.8S ribosomal RNA, internal transcribed spacer 2, and large subunit ribosomal RNA". The stretch from base 1 to 120 matches the Rfam family "5.8S ribosomal RNA", at positions 35 to 154 of the family's 154-position model. The record is from RNAcentral.